RNAcentral lists this ribosomal RNA (433 nucleotides) under uncultured bacterium. RNAcentral describes it as "partial 16S ribosomal RNA". It matches the Rfam family "Bacterial small subunit ribosomal RNA", at positions 29 to 507 of the family's 1533-position model. The record is from RNAcentral.
AACGAACGCUGGCGGCAUGCCUAACACAUGCAAGUCGAACGAGACCUUCGGGUCUAGUGGCUCACGGGUGCGUAACGCGUGGGAACCUGCCCUUAGGUUCGGAAUAACUCCCCGAAAGGGGUGCUAAUACCGGAUAAUGUCUUCGGACCAAAGAUUUAUCGCCUUUGGAUUGGCCCGCGUUGGAUUAGCUAGUUGGUAGGGUAAAAGCCUACCAAGGCGACGAUCCAUAGCUGGUCUGAGAGGAUGAUCAGCCACACUGGGACUGAGACACGGCCCAGACUCCUACGGAAGGCAGCAGUGGGGAAUAUUGGACAAUGGGCGAAAGCCUGAUCCAGCAAUGCCGCGUGAGUGAUGAAGGCGUUAGGGUUGUAAAGCUCUUUUACCCGGGAUGAUAAUGACAGUACCGUGAGAAUAAGCUCCGGCUAACUCCGUG